This 144-nucleotide microRNA precursor is filed under the name Prunus dulcis (almond). Its description in RNAcentral is "sRNA ncRNA". Lineage: Eukaryota; Viridiplantae; Streptophyta; Magnoliopsida; Rosales; Rosaceae. The record is from RNAcentral.
AAGAUGAGGGGAGAAUAUGAGAGGGAGUAGUAAUAAAAGUGAAAAUCAAAACUAAAAACUAAAAUCUAUUUGAAAUUGUUUUCACUUUCAAGUUUAUAUUUACACUUUUGUUACUCAUCCCUCAUAUCCUCCCCUCUCAUCCUU